AGAUUGAACGCUGGCGGCAUGCCUUACACAUGCAAGUCGAACGGCAGCACGGGAGCAAUCCUGGUGGCGAGUGGCGAACGGGUGAGUAAUAUAUCGGAACGUGCCCAGUCGUGGGGGAUAACGCAGUGAAAGCUGUGCUAAUACCGCAUACGAUCUAUGGAUGAAAGCGGGGGACUCGCAAGAGCCUCGCGCGAUUGGAGCGGCCGAUAUCAGAUUAGCUAGUUGGUGGGGUAAAAGCCCACCAAGGCGACGAUCUGUAGCUGGUCUGGAGAGGACGACCAGGCCACACUGGAACUGAGACACGUCCAGACU
This 312-nucleotide ribosomal RNA is filed under the name uncultured soil bacterium. RNAcentral describes it as "bacterial SSU rRNA". It matches the Rfam family "Bacterial small subunit ribosomal RNA", at positions 26 to 337 of the family's 1533-position model. The record is from RNAcentral.